UACGAAGGGGGCUAGCGUUGUUCGGAAUCACUGGGCGUAAAGCGCACGUAGGCGGAUUCUUAAGUCAGUGGUGAAAUCCCGAGGCUCAACCUCGGAACUGCCUUUGAUACUGGGAAUCUUGAGUAUGGUAGAGGUUGGUGGAACAGCAAGUGUAGAGGUGAAAUUCGUAGAUAUUUGCUAGAACACCAGUGGCGAAGGCGGCCAACUGGACCAUAACUGACGCUGAGGUGCGAAAGCGUGGGGAGCAAACAGG
Molecule: ribosomal RNA, 253 nt
Filed under: uncultured bacterium
Lineage: Bacteria
Description: partial 16S ribosomal RNA
Rfam family: Bacterial small subunit ribosomal RNA
Source: RNAcentral